This 810-nucleotide ribosomal RNA is filed under the name uncultured bacterium. Its description in RNAcentral is "bacterial SSU rRNA". It matches the Rfam family "Bacterial small subunit ribosomal RNA", at positions 64 to 841 of the family's 1533-position model. The record is from RNAcentral.
GAACGAAACUUCUUUAUCACCGAGUGCUUGCACUCACCGAUAAACAGUUGAGUGGCGAACGGGUGAGUAACACGUGGGCAACCUGCCCAAAAGAGGGGGAUAACACUUGGAAACAGGUGCUAAUACCGCAUAACCAUAGUUACCGCAUGGUAACUAUGUAAAAGGUGGCUAUGCUACCGCUUUUGGAUGGGCCCGCGGCGCAUUAGCUAGUUGGUGGGGUAAAGGCUUACCAAGGCAAUGAUGCGUAGCCGAACUGAGAGGUUGAUCGGCCACAUUGGGACUGAGACACGGCCCAAACUUAUACGGGAGGCAGCAGUAGGGAAUCUUCCACAAUGGGCGAAAGCCUGAUGGAGCAACGCCGCGUGGGUGAAGAAGGUCUUCGGAUCGUAAAACCCUGUUGUUAGAGAAGAAAGUGCGUGAGAGUAACUGUUCACGUUUCGACGGUAUCUAACCAGAAAGCCACGGCUAACUACGUGCCAGCAGCCGCGGUAAUACGUAGGUGGCUAGCGUUAUCCGGAUUUAUUGGGCGUAAAGGGAACGCAGGCGGUCUUUUAAGUCUGAUGUGAAAGCCUUCGGCUUAACCGGAGUAGUGCAUUGGAAACUGGGAGACUUGAGUGCAGAAGAGGAGAGUGGAACUCCAUGUGUAGCGGUGAAAUGCGUAGAUAUAUGGAAGAACACCAGUGGCGAAAGCGGCUCUCUGGUCUGUAACUGACGCUGAGGUUCGAAAGCGUGGGUAGCAAACAGGAUUAGAUACCCUGGUAGUCCACGCCGUAACGAUGAAUGCUAAGUGUUGGAGGGUUUCCGCCCUUC